RNAcentral lists this ribosomal RNA (440 nucleotides) under uncultured bacterium. Its description in RNAcentral is "bacterial SSU rRNA". It matches the Rfam family "Bacterial small subunit ribosomal RNA", at positions 355 to 787 of the family's 1533-position model. The record is from RNAcentral.
UGGGGAAUAUUGGACAAUGGGCGCAAGCCUGAUCCAGCCAUACCGCGUGUGUGAAGAAGGCCUUCGGGUUGUAAAGCACUUUAAGCAGGGAGAAAAAGUUAUAAGUUAAUACCUUAUAACCGUGAUGUUACCUGCAGAAUAAGCACCGGCUAAUUCCGUGCCAGCAGCCGCGGUAAUACGGAAGGUGCAAGCGUUAAUCGGAAUUACUGGGCGUAAAGCGCGCGUAGGUGGUUUGUUAAGUUGGAUGUGAAAGCCCUGGGCUCAACCUAGGAACUGCAUCCAAAACUAACUCACUAGAGUACGAUAGAGGGAGGUAGAAUUCAUAGUGUAGCGGUGGAAUGCGUAGAUAUUAUGAAGAAUACCAGUGGCGAAGGCGGCCUCCUGGAUCUGUACUGACACUGAGGUGCGAAAGCGUGGGUAGCGAACAGGAUUAGAUACCC